AGAGUUUGAUCCUGCCUCAGGAUGAACGCUAGCGGCAGGCUUAACACAUGCAAGUCGAGGGGCAGCAUGUCCAGCAAUGGAUGAUGGCGACCGGCGAAAGGGUGCGUAACGCGUGAGCAACAUGCCCUAUACAGGGAGAUACACCAGGGAAACUUGGUCUAAUAUCCCAUAGCAUUCAUUGAAGGCAUCUUUAAUGAAUUAAAGCUUCGGUGGUAUAGGAUUGGCUCGCGUGACAUUAGCCAGAUGGUGAGGUAACGGCUCACCAUAGCAAUGAUGUCUAGGGGUUUUGAGAGGAAGGCCCCCCACACUGGGACUGAGACACGGCCCAGACUCCUACGGGAGGCAGCAGUGAGGAAUAUUGGACAAUGGAUGGAAAUCUGAUCCAGCCAUGCCGCGUGCAGGAAGACGGCCUUAUGGGUUGUAAACUGCUUUUAUACGGGAGCAAUAAGGGUUACGAGUAAUCCGAUGAGAGUACUGUAUGAAUAAGGAUCGGCUAACUCCGUGCCAGCAGCCGCGGUAAUACGGAGGAUCCGAGCGUUAUCCGGAAUUAUUGGGUUUAAAGGGUGCGUAGGCGGCCAUUUAAGUCAGCGGUGAAAUUUUGCAGCUUAACUGUAACAGUGCCGUUGAUACUGUUUGGCUAGGAUUUGGUUGUAGUGUGCGGAAUGUGUGGUGUAGCGGUGAAAUGCUUAGAUAUCACACAGAACACCGAUUGCGAAGGCAGCACACUAAGUCAUUAUUGACGCUGAGGCACGAAAGUGUGAGGAUCAAACAGGAUUAGAUACCCUGGUAGUCCACACUGUAAACGAUGAUAACUCGCUGUCGGCGAUACACAGUCGGGGCCAAGCGAAA
This 849-nucleotide ribosomal RNA is filed under the name uncultured bacterium. Its description in RNAcentral is "bacterial SSU rRNA". It matches the Rfam family "Bacterial small subunit ribosomal RNA", at positions 8 to 856 of the family's 1533-position model. The record is from RNAcentral.